This 576-nucleotide long non-coding RNA is filed under the name Erythranthe guttata (spotted monkey flower). RNAcentral describes it as "long non-coding RNA (EGUT_LNC000179)". The record is from RNAcentral. Lineage: Eukaryota; Viridiplantae; Streptophyta; Magnoliopsida; Lamiales; Phrymaceae.
ACUAAAAUAUUGUUCCAGUGUGUGAGAUGUUACAUCUGGUGUAUUUCACCUGGUGGUUUUGAACCAUAUAAUAUUUAUAUAAAUAAUUACCCACUGAACGAAUAAAUUGCAGGAAGAAGGGUUACACUGCUGACAUCAUUGAGACUCAGAAGAGGUAUUUUUCAUCUUCUAAUCUCAUUUAUUUAUUUAUUAUUUUUUAAUUAACACGGAAAAAAAAACCCACCGGGACUUAAUUUGGUUUCGCAGCUACAACGAGACCACCAUAGUGAUGGAUGCACCUGCAGCAGAGCACGAUGGGUGCAAGUGCGGCUCCAGCUGCUCGUGCACCACCUGCACCUGCGGCCACUGAAGCCUCACCGUACUAAUACUAUGGACGCACCCGUAUGAUUAUAAUAGUUGUGUCGAAUAAGUUUGUAAUGUUUCUCGUUUGGGUCGAAAACGUGUGAUGAGUGUUGUGCCAAAAUUUGUGAUCCCUCUUAGGUUCACAACUAUGUAAUAGUUUGCAUCUCACCACGUUUAAUUAAUCUUAUGUUAUAAUUAAUCGGUUUGAUUUUAUAGUGUCUUAUUAUAUCUCGU